AGAACGAACGCUGGCGGCNCGCCUAAUACAUGCAAGUCGAGCGAGAAGGUGUAGCAAUACACUUGUAAAGCGGCGAACGGGGUGAGGAAUACAUGGGUAAUCUACCAUCGAUGGGGAAUAACCAGCCGAAAGGUUGGCUAAUACCGCGUACGCUUCCGAGUCUUCGGGCUUGGAAGGAAAGCCGCACUGUGAGUGCGGCGCUCUUUGAUGAGCUCAUGUCCUAUCGGCUUGUUGGUAGGGUAACGGCCUACCAAGGCUUUGACGGGUAGCUGGUCUGAGAGGACGAUCAGCCACACUGGCACUGCGACACGGGCCAGACUCCUACGGGAGGCAGCAGUAAGGAAUAUUGCGCAAUGGGCGAAAGCCUGACGCAGCGACGCCGCGUGGGGGAUGAAGGUCUUCGGAUUGUAAACCCCUUUCGGGAGGGAAGAUGGAGCGAGCAAUCGUUCGGACGGUACCUCCAGAAGCAGCCACGGCCAACUUCGUG
RNAcentral lists this ribosomal RNA (487 nucleotides) under uncultured bacterium. Its description in RNAcentral is "bacterial SSU rRNA". It matches the Rfam family "Bacterial small subunit ribosomal RNA", at positions 26 to 507 of the family's 1533-position model. The record is from RNAcentral.